UAUUGAUAGAACGAUAUCAAUGUUAUAUUUGAAAUUAUAUUUUGGUGUCCAGAGAAUAUCGAUGAUGUGAACUACUAAUUUUUUGGAAAAACAACACGUAAUAAAAUAAUAGUAUUAGAAUGAACGAUCGUAUUCAGCUCCAUUAUGAUAAAGGUGAAUGCUAAGCUAGUAAGCUAGUUAGGUAUGGAAUAGAAUAAUAUAUUCGAUUAUUGGUGCUGGAUA
RNAcentral lists this long non-coding RNA (222 nucleotides) under Brassica napus (rape). Its description in RNAcentral is "long non-coding RNA (BNAP_LNC019232)". Lineage: Eukaryota; Viridiplantae; Streptophyta; Magnoliopsida; Brassicales; Brassicaceae. The record is from RNAcentral.